GUUGACACUAGUUGUGGAUGAUCGGAGGAGAGUAGCAGCUAACGUUAGCAGCAGCCAACUCGGACGACAUUCGCUGCUCAAGUAUGCUCUAAAUGCACUCGGGCGGGAGAUGCAGACACAGCCUACAACGAUAAUGGCUGUUUUCUCUUCUUGUUCCUGUGAAUAAAAAUUAACUGUACUUCCGGGGAACGACGCCGGACGUGACGUAGUGGCAGCGAAGGUGUCGCCACAGCAAGCACUCCAGCUCAAUCUAUCUCGAUCACCCUCAGAUCACCGUCCUCCUCAUGUCCUCCUUCACCACACCCACAAACCUCAUUGGUUGUAUUCUAAAUAUUAAAACAAAAACCCUCAAUAGCCAGCAGAAAAUAAUAACUUUAUUGCCCAAAAUCAAUCUUACAUUUCAAGGUGCGUGAAAGAAACAAACAAAAUACUUCAUCAUUUUAUUGUUGUUGGGUUGUAUUAGCUGCAAGCGGGACACAGUGACAUGACACAACUUUGUAAUCAUACAAAGACAUGAUACAGGUUUAUCUCUCAAAUCAAAAGCAACAGUUGAUAGACGCUCUGAUAAUAAUAUCAUAUUCCAACCAGACCAAACAUAUGAGCACGAUUACAAAGGACAGCUGCUUAGAGUGUUUUCUUGAGCAUGUUACAGGUAAACAUUAGCAAAUAUAGCUUGUGUUUCUUUUACUUUUUCAUCUCCAGGAUACCGCAUCCUGGACCUCUCUUCUUUGCACUGCAGAUGUUGCAAAACUGUAAGCUGGGAAUCUGGAAAGGAGAAACACAGAUACAGUGAUGGCCAAACAUGUAGUUAAUGAACACAGCACAGAACUAGUUGUUUGAUGAGAACCUGUUUGGACAAUGGAAUAUAUACUGUACAUUUUUAAUACAUGUGACUUUCCUCUUUUGAUAUAUUAGAUCCAAACUUGCUUUUAUUGCUCUCAUUAUCAUCUUGUUUGCUCUGUACGUUUUGUGCUUAUUGGAUUCUCUACACUGUUUAAGUACUGAUAGAUGGCCAUCGUAAAUUCAUUUAGACAAACUACACAGGCCAAACCACUCAUUUCCAUCCACACUGUUGUUUUUUAUCUGUCAGGUUUUAUCUACACAAGUUAACAAUAUUCAAAGUGCAAUGAGUGGUCAGCGAGUGGCAGUAGUGUCACAGUGCUUCUAUGACACACAAACAGGAGGCACAAGGAAGGGGCUGCACUCAGGAAAUAAAUCAGAAAACCUUCAAAACGUUGAGUGAGUCCACAUUUUGUCAUCACAGUCACAAAAAUGUUUAAUUAUUAUAGUGGUCCGAUGGUGUGUUGUGUUUUAUUAAGUCAAAAAGGUUUGCUUUCUGCCUGUUUUAACUGGAGCUGGUCAUGUGACUGAAUUCGCCUUUCAGCCUACUGAAAAUCAAUGUUUAUUAAUCAUACAAAUUCACAGAACACCACCAAAGCACUUCUAAGUUAGUCCACAACCAAACACCCUGAAGGUUUAAUUGAAAUAUGAUCCUCCGUUCUGGAGUGAUAAAACCUGAAUAAUAAUUCAAAUAAAAUAAAUAAAUGUCAUUGCAGAUUUCGUCCAGGGGGUGUCAGUAGAAUACAGGCAUAGUUUUGGACUAGCUUAAUGUGGCCACAGAGCAACUUGGCAGUCCUUCAUGAAGUAUCUGAGAAAGGUUCUUACCGUUCCUGUGGAUGGUAAACACUCCUUGUGGAACAUGUGUCUGCAGUGAAACACCACCACGCUGAAAGGUUUUGCCAUGUCUGGAACACAAGUGACACAAAUACGUUUAUAAACCCAGCAGUUACAGUGAGGUAUUUCAAACAGACACCAACCAGUGGGGAGGAUUGCAGCAUGGCAGGAUUCACAAAUGUUCUCCUCUGAAAAUCAAACCAGAGUUUAAGUUACUGAAACACGUAUGUACUGUACGAAUGACACACGAACACACCGUCGACUCUGACUCCUUUCAUUUGUGUUCGGUGCAUCUUCUGAAGGAGAGACAACGAGUCGGCCACCAGGAUCUUCUUACAGCCUUCUCUCAGUAGGAUCUUUGAAGACAAAAAAGUAACAGAAAAAUACUGAACAUACAAACAAUUUGGGAGUUCAAAUACAGCCAGUCAUACUAGUUUCAUUUCAAAAUAAUUUUAAAUCACUUGUGAAGGACAUGUUUCAUGGCAUACAGUGUAUUUGUCAGUCAAUAUCCCAAUAUGUUGAGGCUGGGACUAAAUUUCAAUAAAUUAAUUACACAAAUCACACAGAUUAAUCACAUAUCAAAUCUAAUCUACUACACUCUCCUUCUCAGGGAACAUUUUGCAGUCAUCAUUUCCAGGUGCACCUCAUCAUAUUAUCACAUGCGAUGCCAUCACCAAAACAUCUAUGAUGAAGGAGAGUGAAUGUGACUCGCUCUCAUGAAUGGAAAAAUUGAGGCUUGGAUUUGUUGCACCGGCUAAAUGGUCCCCACAAAAGCAUAAUGUGCUCAAAAGCAGGUGCUUUGCCAAGAACAGAAAUAUAUUUGCUGUCUGCAGGGGUCAGGACCUUAUACAAGUCAUGUUUUUGUUGCCUGUGACAUAAGUU
Molecule: long non-coding RNA, 2556 nt
Organism: Synchiropus splendidus (mandarinfish)
Lineage: Eukaryota; Metazoa; Chordata; Actinopteri; Syngnathiformes; Callionymidae
Exons: 3
Source: RefSeq, a predicted model, not a curated record